UGGGGAAUAUUGCACAAUGGAGGAAACUCUGAUGCAGCGACGCCGCGUGAGUGAAGAAGGUCUUCGGAUCGUAAAACUCUGUCCUUGGUGACGAAAAAAAUGACGGUAGCCAAGGAGGAAGCCCCGGCUAACUACGUGCCAGCAGCCGCGGUAAUACGUAGGGGGCGAGCGUUGUCCGGAUUUACUGGGCGUAAAGGGUGAGUAGGCGGUAAUAUGUGUCAGAUGUAAAAGGCUAUGGCUUAACCAUAGUUGGCAUUUGAAACUGUAUUACUUGAGUGCAGGAGAGGUAAGUGGAAUUCCUAGUGUAGCGGUGAAAUGCGUAGAUAUUAGGAAGAACACCAGUGGCGAAGGCGACUUUCUGGACCGUAACUGACGCUGAGGCAUGAAAGCGUGGGGAGCAAACA
Molecule: ribosomal RNA, 404 nt
Filed under: uncultured bacterium
Lineage: Bacteria
Description: bacterial SSU rRNA
Rfam family: Bacterial small subunit ribosomal RNA
Source: RNAcentral